Long non-coding RNA from Pomacea canaliculata, 270 nucleotides. RefSeq lists it as uncharacterized. The transcript has 3 exons. Lineage: Eukaryota; Metazoa; Mollusca; Gastropoda; Architaenioglossa; Ampullariidae. The record is from RefSeq and is a predicted model, not a curated record.
UACAGUUUCCCUUAAAAUCUUCAGAGGUGUAGAAUGUCUCAAGUUGGAUUUAAAGACAGAUCCAGGAAAACGUGCACGCUUGGAAUGCUAUUUGGCGAUGAGGGGAGGCUUUAGCUUAAAGCUCGUAGUCAGGGGUAUACUGUCUGUGCUAUUUUCAACAGAAUUAGCCCGGUGUUACAACUAUAAUGGCCUGAAGGGAAAGAAGGGACUGAAGAACCACCCCUUUAUUUUAAGAACAGUUCAGGGAAUGCUAUUUGGCAAUGCGUGGGG